This is a long non-coding RNA of Eucalyptus grandis, 770 nucleotides long. RefSeq lists it as uncharacterized. The transcript is spliced from 2 exons. The record is from RefSeq and is a predicted model, not a curated record. NCBI's taxonomy places the organism in Eukaryota, Viridiplantae, Streptophyta, Magnoliopsida, Myrtales, Myrtaceae.
GGUAAACGCCAAUCAAGGUGUGCAGUUCAGUAAAGAGAACCCGUUCUUCCCAUGGUGGUUGCUGUGUGCCGUGGAGAGUGUCAAUCAAGCGCUGGCAGUCAGAUUCGAUCAAAAUAGGAGCCGUAUUCAGUCCAAGGUGCAGCAGGUGAUGCAAGGUUAGGGUACCCACGGGGAGGAGGUUCCCACGUCUGCCCUGUUUUGACAGUAGUAGUCCCAGCGUUGGGGUGGCUCUGCAGAAUAGCUUGGUGGACUUGAUCGUGAGAUAUGGCGUCAGCAACUACCUGCACUGGAUUAGGGGGAGUCCUGCGGAAGAUCCAGUUGUUGCGUGCACACCAGAUCCGCCAUAGAACUUGCGCAAUCAGUUCGAGCCGAGGUAAGAGUCUUACAUUGAGUGCCCUGUCUGUGAGCCAGUCAUCAAAACGAUGAAUGGUGUAUGGUGAGAGUGAGAUAUUCAGCUGCGGGUUGUUCCAUAUUGUUGUUGUCUAAGAGCAGAAGAAGAAAAUAUGUUCGAGUGUUUCUGGAAAACCCUGAUCACAUAACCUGCAUAUAUAGGGUCAGUUAUAAUGUGACGGUGAAGUAAAUUGGCCUUUGUUGCUAGGGCGUUGUGACAAGCGGACCAUAGAAAACUGCAAAUCUUUGGUUCUACUGGUAGUAGCCAUAUUCUGCGCCAUAGUUUGCGUGAGAACUGAUGUGAGGUAGAGGCUACUUGUGCAUUUGUUGUCUCUUGGAUUUUGCUGAUAAUGUUUUUAUAGUUGCUUUUCACUGAGUAA